RNAcentral lists this ribosomal RNA (485 nucleotides) under uncultured bacterium. RNAcentral describes it as "bacterial SSU rRNA". It matches the Rfam family "Bacterial small subunit ribosomal RNA", at positions 338 to 846 of the family's 1533-position model. The record is from RNAcentral.
CCUACGGGAGGCAGCAGUGGGGAAUCUUGCACAAUGGAGGAAACUCUGAUGCAGCGAUGCCGCGUGAGUGAAGAAGGCCUUUGGGUUGUAAAGCUCUUUUGUAGGGGAAGAUAAUGACUGUACCCUAAGAAUAAGGUCCGGCUAACUUCGUGCCAGCAGCCGCGGUAAUACGAAGGGACCUAGCGUAGUUCGGAAUUACUGGGCGUAAAGCGCGCGUAGGCCGUUGAGUUAGUUAAUUGUGAAAUCCCAAAGCUUAACUUUGGAACUGCAAUUAAAACUGCUCGACUAGAGUUUGAUAGAGGAAAGCGGAAUACAUAGUGUAGAGGUGAAAUUCGUAGAUAUUAUGUAGAACACCAGUUGCGAAGGCGGCUUUCUGGAUCAACACUGACGCUGAGGCGCGAAAGUAUGGGUAGCAAAGAGGAUUAGAUACCCUCGUAGUCCAUACCAUAAACGGAUGAUNUNUANAUGUGUAAUUAUUUAUAUAU